This 236-nucleotide long non-coding RNA is filed under the name Prunus persica (peach). Its description in RNAcentral is "long non-coding RNA (PPER_LNC002062)". The record is from RNAcentral. Lineage: Eukaryota; Viridiplantae; Streptophyta; Magnoliopsida; Rosales; Rosaceae.
UAACCUAUGCCACGCGAGACCUGCAUAUCAUAUCACAUAUCUCCCCAUACGCCGGUACAACCAACGCCACAUAUGGGGUCUGUCGACACGCCGGAUAACCUACGCCACGUGCGACCUCAACAUAUUAUCACAAUAUCUCCCCAUACACCGGUACAACCAACACCACGUAUGGGGUCUAUCUCAACACCGGAUAACCUACACCACGCGAGACCUGCAUAUCAUAUCACAUAUCUCCC